AACGAUGCUAGCUUGCUAGCAGGCGUCGAGUGGCGGACGGGUGAGUAAUGCAUAGGAAUCUACCUAAUAGUGGGGGACAACCUGGUGAAAACCAGGCUAAUACCGCAUAAUCCCUACGGGGCAAAGCAGGGGACCUUCGGGCCUUGCGCUAAUAGAUGAGCCUAUGUCGGAUUAGCUAGUUGGUGAGGUAAUGGCUCACCAAGGCAACGAUCCGUAGCUGGUUUGAGAGGAUGAUCAGCCACACUGGGACUGAGACACGGCCCAGACUCCUACGGGAGGCAGCAGUGGGGAAUAUUGCACAAUGGAGGAAACUCUGAUGCAGCAAUGCCGCGUGUGUGAAGAAGGCCUUAGGGUUGUAAAGCACUUUCAGUAGGGAGGAAAAGUUUAAGGUUAAUAACCUUAGGCCUGACGUUACCUACAGAAGAAGCACCGGCUAACUCCGUGCCAGCAGCCGCG
This 456-nucleotide ribosomal RNA is filed under the name uncultured Cycloclasticus sp. Its description in RNAcentral is "bacterial SSU rRNA". It matches the Rfam family "Bacterial small subunit ribosomal RNA", at positions 65 to 519 of the family's 1533-position model. The record is from RNAcentral. Lineage: Bacteria; Pseudomonadati; Pseudomonadota; Gammaproteobacteria; Thiotrichales; Piscirickettsiaceae.